This 328-nucleotide long non-coding RNA is filed under the name Gallus gallus (chicken). The record is from RNAcentral. Lineage: Eukaryota; Metazoa; Chordata; Aves; Galliformes; Phasianidae.
ACUUUUUCUGCUGGUGUGGUAUUGAGAAGGGAAUUCCUCUUGAUGUGAAUGGAGAGCAGUUUUUGAACGUAUACUUUGGCACAAAAUAUACUGACUUUCUGCAGGGAUGUGCUGAACCAUGCAGCAGGAAAAGAGGAAUCCAAGCUGAGCAAAGCUGAGAGAAAAUAAAAUCAACUACAGAAGGUAAAAUGUCAGCCACCUUCCCCUUUGAAUUCUGCAAGACAUAACAGCUGAAGAGGUAAGAGCAGAUAACCAGAAAACAUGCAUCAGAGAAGCCUUUUUUGAGAACCAUUGGGUCUGCCAAGUGGUCUGGGCAGAAAAGCAGUAG